UGGAGGAUGUAUAGCGAAAGCUAGUUGUAUUAAAUAAAAUUUAUUUAAUGCAGCAUCGACUAUGUCGAAUAAAGUUCUAGGUAGAGUUAUGAUAAUGACAUUUUCUAUCUAUGUGUCUUGACCAAAUCACGUGCCAGCAGUCGCGGUAAUACGUGGAAGACUAGUGUUAUUCAUCUUUAAUAGGUUUAAAGGGUACUUAGACGGUGAAUUAAGCCCAAUAAAGGGUACUUAUUAUACUAGAGUUUUAUGCGAGGGGGGGAGUACUAGUGGAGUAGAGAUGAAAUUCUGUCAUACCAUUAUGAACAGGCAACGGCGAAAGCAACCCUUUAUGUAAAAACUGACGUUGAAGGACGAAGGCUCAGUACACCAACAGGAUUAGAUACCCUAGCAGUCUGAGCAGACAAUGAUGAAUGCCAUAGAUAAGAAAUAGUUUUAUCUAUAAAUGAAAGUGUAAGCAUUCCACCUCAAGAGUAAUGUGGCAACGCAGAAACUGAAAUCAUUAGACCGUUUCUGAAACCAGUAGUGAAGUAUGUUGUUUAAUUUGACAGCCCGCACAAAACCUUACCACAAUUUGUAUAUUUUUAUUUAAAUACAAGAGUUGCACGGCUGUCUUCAGUUAAUGUCGUGAGAUUUUGGUUAGUUCCAUUAAAUUAACGUAAACCCUUACUUUAUUUCUUUUAUAAAGUAGUUCACCACUAGAUUGGAUAUGAUAAAAGGGAACUAAGACAAGUCAUCAUGGCCUGAAUAUU
This 749-nucleotide ribosomal RNA is filed under the name Aspilidea sp. TW-2021a. RNAcentral describes it as "SSU rRNA". It matches the Rfam family "Bacterial small subunit ribosomal RNA", at positions 355 to 1208 of the family's 1533-position model. Lineage: Eukaryota; Fungi; Ascomycota; Lecanoromycetes; Thelenellaceae. The record is from RNAcentral.